UCACUUGGCUAGAGCUGAGCCACGAAUUUGACUCUGAGCAUCUAGGAUGAAAAAGAAGAACUGGCACCUAUGCCAUCUCUGCCCCUCGGGACUGACUACUUUGAAUGCCCCACCCCACUUAGUCCAUAGUGGUGCCCACCUCUGGUUAAUGGAGCUGAGGCUGCUGAACCAAAG
Molecule: long non-coding RNA, 174 nt
Filed under: Macaca fascicularis (crab-eating macaque)
Lineage: Eukaryota; Metazoa; Chordata; Mammalia; Primates; Cercopithecidae
Description: lncRNA (ENSMFAG00000061935.1)
Source: RNAcentral